Molecule: ribosomal RNA, 757 nt
Filed under: uncultured bacterium
Lineage: Bacteria
Description: bacterial SSU rRNA
Rfam family: Bacterial small subunit ribosomal RNA
Source: RNAcentral
AGAGUUUGAUCAUGGCUCAGGAUGAACGCUGGCGGCGUGGAUAAGGCAUGCAAGUCAAGCGGGCCCCGAUAGCAAUAUCGGGAUACCGCGGCGAACGAGUUAGUAAUACCUUGGAACGUACCCCGAAGUCGGGCAUAACAAGCCGAAAGGCUCGCUAAUUCCCGAUGGUAUCGUAAGAUUAAAGUCGCAAGACGCUUUGGGAGCGGCCUAGGUCCUAUCAGCUUGUUGGUGAGGUAAAAGCUCACCAAGGCUAUGACGGGUAGGGGGUGUGAGAGCACGGCCCCCAACGACGAAACUGAGAUACGGUUCGUACACCUACGGGUGGCAGCAGUCGAGAAUAUUCGACAAUGGGCGAAAGCCUGAUCGAGCGACGCCGCGUGCAGGAAGAAGGCCUUCGGGUUGUAAACUGCUUUUGCGUGGGAAAAAUUUAUGAUUGUACCACGAGAAUAAGGGGUUGCUAACUCUGUGCCAGCAGCAGCGGUAAUACAGAGACCCCGAGCGUUAUCCGGAAUUACUGGGCGUAAAGCGCAAGUAGUCGGUUUUGUUAGUCUAAUGUUAAAUCUCUGGGCCCAACCCAGAGGCCGCAUUGGAAACGGCAGAACUAGAGCGAGUUAGAGGCAAGCGGAACGUGUGGUGUAGCGGUGAAAUGCGUUGAUAUCACACGGAACACCAAAAGCGAAGGCAGCUUGCUGGGACUUUGCUGACGAUCAGUUGCGAAAGCGUGGGGAUCAAAAAGGAUUAGAUACCCUAGUAGUCC